Paramormyrops kingsleyae is the source of this 1469-nucleotide long non-coding RNA. RefSeq lists it as uncharacterized. The record is from RefSeq and is a predicted model, not a curated record. NCBI's taxonomy places the organism in Eukaryota, Metazoa, Chordata, Actinopteri, Osteoglossiformes, Mormyridae.
GGUUGGUCAAGAGCAGGGCACUUCCAGUCCUUCUUCAUCAAGUCAGAAAUCAUGUAGGGAGAGCAGCAACAGUUAACGAUGUAAAGUAUGAAAAGUUUGAUAUUAUUAUCUUGUGAAAUGAUACAAAUUCACAGAAUUCUUCCACCUUAUGGUGAUAAGAUUUACUAUAACUUUAACGUAAUGGCUUUCAUUUUAUCGGUUCGUAUAUCAUCACAUCAUCAUCAUGUAUCAUACAACUCACUUUUAUAUUUCAAGCUUUCCAGUCAGCUUCAGUUUCAAUUAAAUAAUUAAUAAUGUGGUCUUAUAAACAACAUGGUUUCAGCUGAAUACAUGCUUGGAGUUUGUGACACGCAUUUGUAUUGUAUCCAUGAACUGGGACAAGACUCUUUCUGAUACGGACAACCAAAGUGAAGUUGGUAACUUAAGCCCCCAUUCUGCUGAGCCACCAGAGUCACCAAUCAGUGCUGAUCCUGCCAGAUCUGGUGGCAUCUUCCAGUGUGGUGCACAGGGACCUUUGCAGACAUUGGAGGAUUGUUCUGCUCCAACAUCUCCCAGUCAAGAGCAGGGGGUCCUGUGCAGCCUGUCCUUAGUGUUUUCCCUAAGACGCAACAUUGCAACCGCAAGAGGGCAUUCAAUGAGUCAUGGUACAGAGACUACACAUGGUUGGAGCACCACCAAAAUGCUGUUUGCGUGGAAGCAGCACGAAAUGGCCACUCAAAGAAAGUCAUGCAUAAUAGUACAAAUACUUGGCCCCUCUAUUAAUAUUGUGGCCCCUUACUCAGGAAAAUCUUAGAUCCGCCACUGCAUUUGUGCUUUACGAACCUGUAUUAUUUUGAAAUCACUCAUAAUUUGGUGGGAGUGUAAAUGACCUUUGGGUUGGUUCGUCGCAGCUUAGCAUAUUUCUGUUGCCAUGUUGUUUUUAUUUUGAGGUCUUUUUGUGGAGCGAUCUGGUGGGUUUUUUUUUUUGCAAAUGCCUAGACUUUUAUUUUGAAAUUACGGCGCUGCUAUCCACUUAGCGUAAGCACAACGGACCAGCACGCCUGUGCAGCGGCGGUGAAGCGGAGUAGGUAAAGGGCACCUUCUAAUUUAAAAGAGACGGUUUUUCCUUUUGCUUUAGUACCUGACUGGUUAGGGCACAAUGUCAAUAUUUUCUAGUGUAAUUGUGAAUGCCUCUUUAUUACAUUUGAGUUUUGAACUUUAUGAGUGUUCCAUUAGCAAACUGCUAUUUUCGACCGAUGCUCUGUACUCCUGCCUUGCUUCAAUUUAACGUAUUCCAUAUAGCUUAAUUCAGUAAAUAAGUGCGCUUCAUGCAGGUUUUCACGUUGUUUUCUUAUUUACAGCACUUUGUAAGUCAUAAUAUAAAAGGAACGUAAUGUUUAUUUUAUCUUUAAUUCCUUCCCCCUUUUUCCUUUAACUCUUAUGGUGAGCUCACUGUUUAUGUGUAUCUGAAUAAAACCCCCUUUAUGAAC